AGACCCGAAACCCGGUGAUCUAGCCAUGGGCAGGUUGAAGGUUGGGUAACACUAACUGGAGGACCGAACCGACUAAUGUUGAAAAAUUAGCGGAUGACCUGUGGCUGGGGGUGAAAGGCCAAUCAAACCGGGAGAUAGCUGGUUCUCCCCGAAAGCUAUUUAGGUAGCGCCUCGUGAAUUCAUCUCCGGGGGUAGAGCACUGUUUCGGCUAGGGGGCCAUCCCGGCUUACCAACCCGAUGCAAACUGCGAAUACCGGAGAAUGUUAUCACGGGAGACACACGGCGGGUGCUAACGUCCGUCGUGAAGAGGGAAACAACCCAGACCGCCAGCUAAGGUCCCAAAGUCAUGGUUAAGUGGGAAACGAUGUGGGAAGGCCCAGACAGCCAGGAUGUUGGCUUAGAAGCAGCCAUCAUUUAAAGAAAGCGUAAUAGCUCACUGGUCGAGUCGGCCUGCGCGGAAGAUGUAACGGGGCUAAACCAUGCACCGAAGCUGCGGCAGCGACACUGUGUGUUGUUGGGUAGGGGAGCGUUCUGUAAGCCUGUGAAGGUGUGUCGUGAGGCAUGCUGGAGGUAUCAGAAGUGCGAAUGCUGACAUAAGUAACGAUAAAGCGGGUGAAAAGCCCGCUCGCCGGAAGACCAAGGGUUCCUGUCCAACGUUAAUCGGGGCAGGGUGAGUCGACCCCUAAGGCGAGGCCGAAAGGCGUAGUCGAUGGGAAACGGGUUAAUAUUCCCGUACUUGGUGUUACUGCGAAGGGGGGACGGAGAAGGCUAUGUUGGCCGGGCGACGGUUGUCCCGGUUUAAGCGUGUAGGUGUGUGUUCCAGGUAAAUCCGGUUCACUUUAACACUGAGGCGUGACGACGAGGCACUACGGUGCUGAAGCAACAAAUGCCCUGCUUCCAGGAAAAGCCUCUAAGCAUCAGGUAACAUCAAAUCGUACCCCAAACCGACACAGGUGGUCAGGUAGAGAAUACCAAGGCGCUUGAGAGAACUCGGGUGAAGGAACUAGGCAAAAUGGUGCCGUAACUUCGGGAGAAGGCACGCUGACACGUAGGUGAAGUGAUUUACUCAUGGAGCUGAAGUCAGUCGAAGAUACCAGCUGGCUGCAACUGUUUAUUAAAAACACAGCACUGUGCAAACACGAAAGUGGACGUAUACGGUGUGACGCCUGCCCGGUGCCGGAAGGUUAAUUGAUGGGGUCAGCGCAAGCGAAGCUCCUGAUCGAAGCCCCGGUAAACGGCGGCCGUAACUAUAACGGUCCUAAGGUAGCGAAAUUCCUUGUCGGGUAAGUUCCGACCUGCACGAAUGGCGUAAUGAUGGCCAGGCUGUCUCCACCCGAGACUCAGUGAAAUUGAACUCGCUGUGAAGAUGCAGUGUACCCGCGGCAAGACGGAAAGACCCCGUGAACCUUUACUAUAGCUUGACACUGAACAUUGAGCCUUGAUGUGUAGGAUAGGUGGGAGGCUUUGAAGCGUGGACGCCAGUCUGCGUGGAGCCGACCUUGAAAUACCAC
RNAcentral lists this ribosomal RNA (1511 nucleotides) under Salmonella enterica subsp. enterica serovar Stanley. RNAcentral's name for it is "partial 23S ribosomal RNA". It matches the Rfam family "Bacterial large subunit ribosomal RNA", at positions 711 to 2203 of the family's 2925-position model. Lineage: Bacteria; Pseudomonadati; Pseudomonadota; Gammaproteobacteria; Enterobacterales; Enterobacteriaceae. The record is from RNAcentral.